RNAcentral lists this long non-coding RNA (593 nucleotides) under Pollicipes pollicipes. RNAcentral describes it as "uncharacterized LOC119103907, transcript variant X2". Lineage: Eukaryota; Metazoa; Arthropoda; Thecostraca; Pollicipedomorpha; Pollicipedidae. The record is from RNAcentral.
ACGGCUUAUGCACCACCGGUAGCUAGUGCUGCCCGUUCAGUGCGGAUGGUUUAUGUCUGGCCCCCACAGAUGGCGCUCUCCGUUGAAGUUCGGUUCAUGCCGCUCGCUUAGUUUGCUGGAAAUCGUUACUCCGUUACAGUUAGGCGAGAGAUAAAGAGCCUGAUUAUGCUUUUGUGCCGCGAGAUGAGACGCGUCUGACCUCUGUACAUCCUCAGAGCCGCCCCUGCGGGUCAGCACCCCGCCGGCCGAUGACGUCAUCGACCCGCUGCGGUACGACAUCUCACCGCCGACGGACGACUCGCCCGACUCCCCGGACGGCGACACCCAGAGAGCGCCGGCCGGUGACGUGGGCUCGCUGACGGACGGCCGCGUACCCCUGCUCUACUGCUGUCGGCUGGUCGCUUCGCGCUACCUGCUCACGGGCCAGCCUAGCGGUCUCAGGCCCGACAGAGAAGUUCGCGUGAGCAUCAAGGUGCUCAGUGUGAACUGUAUUAGCGCUGCUGUCGCCCUGAUGCCCGACAUACUGAGGCUGCCUCUGCUGAUCGACAAGGACCCGGAAUCGGCCACCUGUCAGCACCUGCGGGACGUGUUCG